RNAcentral lists this ribosomal RNA (883 nucleotides) under uncultured bacterium. RNAcentral's name for it is "bacterial SSU rRNA". It matches the Rfam family "Bacterial small subunit ribosomal RNA", at positions 28 to 896 of the family's 1533-position model. The record is from RNAcentral.
GACGAACGCUGGCGGCGCGCUUAACACAUGCAAGUCGAGCGAGAACCUGGGCUUCGGCCCUGGGGACAGCGGCGAACGGGUGAGUAACACGUGGGUAAUCUGCCCUUGACAUCGGGAUAGCCCGGGGAAACCCGGAUUAAUACCGAAUAGCCUCCGGAGCCUUCGGGCGCCGGAGAAAAGGUAGCUUCGGCCUCUGGUCGAGGAUGAGCCCGCGGCGGAUUAGCUUGUUGGCGGGGUAACGGCCCACCAAGGCGACGAUCCGUAGCUGGUCUGAGAGGACGAUCAGCCACACUGGGACUGAGACACGGCCCAGACUCCUACGGGAGGCAGCAGUGGGGAAUCUUGCGCUAAUGCGGGAAACCGUGACGCAGCGACGCCGCGUGGGGGAAGAAGGCCUUCGGGUUGUAAACCUCUUUCAGGAGGGACGAAGCUACUCGGGUUAAUAGCCCAGAGGGUGACGGUACCUCCAGAAGAAGCCCCGGCUAACUACGUGCCAGCAGCCGCGGUAAUACGUAGGGGGCAAGCGUUGUCCGGAUUUAUUGGGCGUAAAGAGCGUGUAGGCGGCCUGACAGGUCUGCUGUGAAAACUCGAGGCUCAACCUCGAGAUGUCGGCGGAAACCGUCUGGCUAGAGUCCGGAAGAGGAGAGUGGAAUUCCUGGUGUAGCGGUGAAAUGCGCAGAUAUCAGGAAGAACACCUAUGGCGAAGGCAGCUCUCUGGGACGGUACUGACGCUGAGACGCGAAAGCGUGGGGAGCGAACAGGAUUAGAUACCCUGGUAGUCCACGCCGUAAACGAUGGGGGCUAGGUGUGGGCGGUGUCGACUCCGUCCGUGCCGAAGCUAACGCAUUAAGCACCCCGCCUGGGGAGUACGGCCGCAAGGCUA